This 669-nucleotide long non-coding RNA is filed under the name Carica papaya (papaya). Its description in RNAcentral is "long non-coding RNA (CPAP_LNC001689)". The record is from RNAcentral. Lineage: Eukaryota; Viridiplantae; Streptophyta; Magnoliopsida; Brassicales; Caricaceae.
GACGGUCUAGAUUAAAAAAAGACGGAUAUAAAUAACCCUCUUCAUAUCAAACUCUAACCCUAGCCGUCAGACACCCUCGUCGGAGAAGAAGACUCAGCCACCGGGAAGGAGAGCCGCUGCGCCGGAGCCACUUUCGACCGCCGAGGGUUGUGAGUAGGAUGCCAGUUUUAUUUCUUUUCCAUUUAUUCCUUAAUUUUUUAUAUUUUCCUUCAAAGGGUAAUUCCCGUAACACUAUUUGGUACUUUAAAUUAUUGUGUAAUGAAUGUAAACCCUAACUAAUUAUUUCGUUUUCACACUUAAUUUCUGAUUUAUUUAUUUUGAAAUUUUUGGGGUCGUUACAGUUGGUAUCAGAGCCGUGUUCCUUGGACCAAUUCCUCACAUAAAAUCCUUAAGAAGCACAAAAAAUAAUGAAUUAUCACUCAACCAUUCCUUCUGAAAUAUCAGUACAGAUAGAUGAGGAGAGGAAGAGCCCCACUAAAUCGAGCAGCUCGGGAGUGUUCACUACGUGAGGAUAUUGACAAGGUUUUUGAGAUGCUAGAGAGACUCAUCAUUUCCCAGCAGGCCUAGGAGGAAAGGAGGGAGCUACCUGACUUUCCCGCGCUGCCACAGGUUGAGCCACCUCUGCAGCGAAAGGAUCCCGAGCCACCCUGGUACGAUCCUGCUCCUCCA